GGUCGAGAAUCAACUUUCUGGUUGAGUCGCGGGCAAUACAGAUCGAUCGGGAAAUUUGAAGUACGAGAAGGUCGAAGAAUGGAUCGUGAGUGAAGCAUGAGUUGAGAUAAGCUGCUCUACCAUUGUUAGAAAUGUCUAAGAUUGAUCAGACGGCAGUUUUGGAAGAAUCACAUUUUUGAAGCACGACGGUUUAGAAGCUCGACGUUUUUGAAGAUUGACGUUUCUUCAUCGCGAAGUUUUCUCAGAAUAUCUUCGUAUCAGUAAAAUAUUAUUCUGAAGACAUUAUAAGUCGGAAGCAGGACGGGAAUUAAGCAGGACGGGAAGCAAGCACGACGGGAUUGAAGCACGACGGGAAAAUCCGAAGUUGGGCGAAAACCCUAAUUUUGGUAUUAUCGAUUUUUCGAGGAAGCCGGAGGCUCGGGAAAUAUUUUCCAUCAAGGUCAGGAUUCACUUGGAGUUUAUUAAAAAUAUUCAUCUCAUCAGAACGGGCGUAGAAAAAUAUUCGGGAUUGAUCACGGGACGAAAAUUCACCGGAAGGGUCGAAAUCAGUCGAAUGGACCGAGAAGCUCGAGCUGGCCUUAUCUAUGAGAUAAGGACGUGAUGUAACCUGCCUGGCAUGGUAUGUGGCAAGGGAAGCAGGAGGUGUUGAAGCCCAGGAGAGCACAGCAUGCUGAUUGACACCCAGAAGCACGAGGUGCCGCGAAACCUGCGAUCGGAGCAUGCUGAGCGACAUGUGUGCGCUGAGUGUCAAUCUGGAUGAGGUCAGGCCGUGGAUCAGACAUCUGGAGGGCAUGGUGUCACUCUGCAUGAUCUCCUGGUCAUGCCAUCAGACAUGUGGAGCACGAGGUGCCGCGACGCAUGCGUCCGGAGCCAUGCGAAGCGACACACGGGCUGCCACCAACCUGAAGCUGAUUGGCUGGUGUCUCCUAUAUAAAGACCACGACCCCUUCUCAUUUCAUUCAUCCAGACCUUUCAAAAGCAAGUUAAAAAAGUGGGUUAGAGAGAGAGAAAGAAGUAGAAAAAGAAAGUAAGAGGUUUUGAGCUAUUUCGAGAGUUUUAGAGAGUUUUCGAGAUCAGUUUCUCUACUGAUUUCAAGUCAGCGCCUAGGGAAGGUUCUGGCCAACUGAAGAUCAACCAAUUGAAGAUCAAUUCAGAUGGGAAGCAAGUCAACGUGGUUAGAGAGAGAGAGAAAGAAAGUGUAGCUGAGUUCUGAAGACCGAUACUCCACCGAGAAGGCCAGUUCCGUCCAAUCGGCGAUUCUCUACGAUUGUGACGCGGAAGCUCUGUCCAAUUCAAUCCGUCCAAGCCAGUCAUAUUCUCCUACAAUCAAGUGGAGGUGCUGUCCAAGAUUAGUUCAGUUCCAUGGGUUCAGAUCAGUCGAAGUUCUCCUCGUUACUCCGCCGAAAUGUCCGAAGAACUGUCCAGCAGCUAAAGGAGAUUCUGUCCAGAUCAGUCUGUCCAGACGUGUCAGUUUCUUCAUGAUGAAGCCGAGGUUAUGUCCAAGUCAAGAUCAGUCCAGUGCAGUCCAGUCAAGGCGUCCCUUGGGUUUUGGCCAAGUCCUCUACGAUCAACCAGCUGCUUCUCGCCUAGAACACUGUGAGUUGGUUUGUUUGAAUUCCACUUGGAAUUUAGGGUAGAUCGAGUCUGCAUAUAGAUUAGAAUGAUCACGCAAUUGAAUGGUAGAGUCCUUAGGGUUAUUUUAUUUAUGGAACCGGACUCAGUUUAGCAAGGGCUAAGCUGAGAUGAAUGGAAUUAAGACUGAGUUAAUAACCUGACUAGGACUAGGGCUAGGAUGCAUCAUGUUUUCUAUUCUUGCGUGUUGAUAUGGUUGAGUGCAGGUUCCCGUUAUCUUUAAAGAUAGUUUCUCAGCGGGAGGCUGGACUAUCUGGGUAACGGUUUGAUUGUAUGGUUUAGUAUUGAUAUUAUUGUUUAGUAGUUAGUACUAAGGGUCUUAGGCCAUAUAGGCCGGACUACUGGUACUAUUGGUUUGUGUUGUAGAGUCGAGUGUCUAGUUAGGAUCUGGAAUUUUAUCUUUAGGUUAGGUUCUAGAUUGAGUUUGUGUUGUGUGAGUGUGCCGACAGUAUGUGCGUGACCCGCCCAUACUAGGCUUGUGUAGGGGUGAUUAGUGUUUCCUCGGCCUCGUACCCAGCGGGUUCAAGGAAACCCCUUAUUCGCUGGAUCGGGAAGACUCAGACGAACGGUGUCAUGUACUAUGGCUGAGUAUUACACGACGGUGUAAUGUGGCAGUGACCCGAAGGACUGUGGGCUGUCGCGCGGUGACCCGAAUGACUGUGGGCCGCGGUCGGUUGAAAGUUCCUUCUUCUGGCCUUUGUGGUAGGAAGAUAGGAUAUUGCCGAUAGAGAGGAGGAACACGAAGUCACCAGGGCCCAGGUUAGAGUGUUGUGUUAGAGUGUCGUAGAGGGUUAUGGAACCCUCGAGUUAGUGUAGCACCGAUAUACGGUGUUACAAGUUAGAUCGAGUCGUAGUUACUCAUAGUCUUAUUAUUGUGAUUGUGUUUGUGGUUGAUUGAUUUGCUUGCAGGUUCUGACGUUAAGUCUAAGUCUGGUUUAGGUACCGGAUUAGGCUUGACGUGUAUUUCGUUAGUGUAGGCCUGACGUUGGCCUGUAUGUGUUUGAGUGAUUGCUUGUGAAGGGUGGUGGAUAUUAAAGCUAUGCGGUAUCAUUGGUUGACCGAUCAUGUUCUUGUUUGAUUGUUGGUCGAUCGAUUAAUGAUACUUGUAUAGUCUAAGUGUCUAACACUACAUGAGUAUUGAACUCAGGCGUAUAUAUGGUUAACUAGGGAUUGCUUGUUGACUUGUUUUAAUGCAGGUUCCCGUUACUUGAAGCUAGAUCAUGGCAGGAGGCCAAGUCUAACUUAGUAACGGUUUGCUUAGCCUUAGCUUUUAUUGCAUGCUAGGGCUAGAUUGAUUGUUAUUUUGGGUUGUCUGGGUAGAGUCUAGGUUGCGGGUAGAGGCCGCCAGCUCACUGAGUAAUACUAGAUUACUCAUCCAACUCCGUUGUCCUUUUUGCAGGUCGCUUUAGGUAAGGAUGAUCGGAUAGCUUGGUGCUGGACGUUAGGACCGCCGGUGUAGAUUUUCAUGCCUUUUGUAAACGGUAUUGUGGAUUUGUGUUUAGUUGACUCGAUUUGGCAUUAGGCCGGGACCGGUCUCGAAUUAUAUCAAUGUAUGGAUAUUUCUCGAAUCAAUAAAGUAAUUGUUUUAUAUGCGCUUCAUGAGUACUCUGAUAUUUGACUAGUCCGGUCUAACACAACGUUAGGUCGAGGUACGGGUUGAAAAGCCUUAGGCCUUGAUCUAACGGAAAACGCUAACUCUAGGUACGGGUUGCAAAGCCUUAUGCCUUGACGCAGCGGGACGAGUUAGUGGAUGAACUGGUCUAGGUCGUGGAGUAAAGUUUGUGACUCUGACCGGAUUGUCCCUAGCCCGUCACGUAGCGCUUCCGGACCAUGAUGUUGGGUUGGACGGUCAGUCAUGUUCUUGUUUGAUUGUUGGCUGGCCGGUUGGCCUUUCAUCUCCAACCCUUGGUGUGGGUCGUCCGUCGGUCAUGUUCUUGUUUGAUUGUUGGCCGGUGGGUCGACCUAUGCUUAGGACGGUUCGGGGGUGUUACAGAGGUGGUAUCAGAGCAUGGUUUCGUCCAUGCUUCCGGAACUCAUGAUUUAAUCGGUUUUAAAUAUUUAUCGAGUCAAAAUGAGUCACAAAAGGCAUUAGGGAAACCGGUCACGUCCAGCGAUAGGAUUUGUGGUUUUAGGAAAUUAGGAUUGAGAUAGUGGAAUCUAGAACUGUUAGGUUGCUUGGGUAGAACUGUUAGGUUGCUUGGGUAGAACUGUUAGGUUGCUUGGGUAGCACUAUUAGGUUGCUGGUUAGAAUUGCGGUUAGGUUGCAUUGUUAGUAUUUGCUGGGUUAGUAGAUUAUUUGAUUAAUUGUCUACUAACUUGCAUGUGAAGUGUUCUUUUGAGUUGCAGCGAGUAAGUGCGUUUGUUGAUCGGUACUUUAAGGGAUGAAAACCUUAAAGUGGAGGGAGUUCAAGGCCAAACCCAAACCCGAAGCGAAAGAGGAGAGACAGAUUCGGAGAACUGGGCUGUGGUAUGGACUGGACAGAUGGGAAGAAACAAGACUUCGUUGGGAAAGGACUUCAUCAGUACUUGGGAAGACGAAGAUCGAGAAGGAUUUGAGGAAUCUGGACAAGGAUGAUAUCUAUCAAAAUGACAAGAUAGUAUCAUGGGCGAUGAGUGUGUUAUGACAGAGUAAAAGCAAGAGGACGACUCAGUCAUCAUACAAGUGAAGAGAUAUAAAGACAAUUGUGGAGGCCUUGAAGAGGACACUGAAGGAACCGUGGUGGAAGGAGCAAAGAGGUUAUGGAGACGACUGGAGAGUGUUGUGAAGACGAGCAAUUUCGCAACUAAGAAUUCGAGGACGAAUUCUAUUAAGGGGGGGAGAAUGUAGAAACCCGUUAAAAAAAAAAAAAAAAAAAAAAAAAAAAAAAAAGAAAAGAGAGAGAGAAUGGUCGAGUAUCUUUGUGGUUGAGUCGCGGGCAAUACAGAUCGAUCGGGAAAUUUGAAGUACGAGAAGUUCGAAGAAUGGAUCGUGAGUGAAGCAUGAGUUGAGAUAAGCUGCUCUACCAUUGUUAGAAAUGUCUUAGAUUGAUCAGACGGCAGUUUUGGAAGAAUCACAUUUUUUAAGCACGACGGUUUAGAAGCUCGACGUUUUUGAAGAUUGACGU
Molecule: long non-coding RNA, 4736 nt
Filed under: Brassica napus (rape)
Lineage: Eukaryota; Viridiplantae; Streptophyta; Magnoliopsida; Brassicales; Brassicaceae
Description: long non-coding RNA (BNAP_LNC024242)
Source: RNAcentral